UACGUAGGGGGCGAGCGUUGUCCGGAUUUAUUGGGCGUAAAGAGCGUGUAGGCGGUUCGGUAAGUCUGUCGUGAAAUCCUGAGGCUCAACCUCGGGCGUGCGAUGGAUACUGCCGGGCUAGAGGGUGGUAGAGGCGAGUGGAAUUCCCGGUGUAGCGGUGAAAUGCGCAGAUAUCGGGAGGAACACCAGUAGCGAAGGCGGCUCGCUGGGCCACACCUGACGCUGAGACGCGAAAGCUAGGGGAGCGAGCAGG
RNAcentral lists this ribosomal RNA (253 nucleotides) under uncultured bacterium. Its description in RNAcentral is "partial 16S ribosomal RNA". It matches the Rfam family "Bacterial small subunit ribosomal RNA", at positions 524 to 776 of the family's 1533-position model. The record is from RNAcentral.